AUCAACUUUCGAUGGUAGGAUAGAGGCCUACCAUGGUGGUAACGGGUAACGGGGUGUUAGGGCACGACACCGGAGAGGGAGCCUGAGAAACGGCUACCACAUCCAAGGAUGGCAGCAGGCGCGCAAAUUACCCAAUCCCGACACGGGGAGGUAGUGACAAUAAAUAACAAUACGGGGUUCUUUCGGAUUUCGUAAUUGGAAUGAGUACAAUUUAAAUCUCUUAACGAGGAACAAUUGGAGGGCAAGCCUGGUGCCAGCAGCCGCGGUAAUUCCAGCUCCAAUAGCGUAUAUUAAAGUUGCUGCAGUUAAAAAGCUCGUAGUUGAAUUUCGGGACUAAUAUGUCGGUCGUGCCUCGGUACGUACUGGUUUAUUGGUUUCUCCUUUCUGAAGAACCAUGAUGUCAUUUAUUUGGUGUCGUGGGGAAUCAGGACUGUUACUUUGAAAAAAUUAGAGUGUUUAAAGCAGGCUCACGCUUGAAUACAUUAGCAUGGAAUAAUGAAAUAGGACGUUUGAUUCUAUUUUGUUGGUUUCUAGGAUCGACGUAAUGAUUAAUAGGGAUAGUUGGGGGCAUUAGUAUUCAAUUGUCAGAGGUGAAAUUCUUGGAUUUAUUGAAGACUAACUACUGCGAAAGCAUUUGCCAAGGAUGUUUUCAUUAAUCAAGAACGAAAGUUAGGGGAUCGAAGACGAUCAGAUACCGUCGUAGUCUUAACCAUAAACUAUGCCGACUAGGGAUCGGAUGAUGUUAAUUUUUUAAUGACUCAUUCGGCGCCUUACGGGAAACCAAAGUGUUUGGGUUC
RNAcentral lists this ribosomal RNA (797 nucleotides) under uncultured Glomeromycotina. Its description in RNAcentral is "SSU rRNA". It matches the Rfam family "Eukaryotic small subunit ribosomal RNA", at positions 314 to 1114 of the family's 1831-position model. Lineage: Eukaryota; Fungi; Glomeromycota. The record is from RNAcentral.